UAUGACGUUAGCGGCGGACGGGUGAGUAACACGUGGGCAACCUGCCUGUAAGACUGGGAUAACUCCGGGAAACCGGAGCUAAUACCGGAUAACAUUUUCUCUUGCAUAAGAGAAAAUUGAAAGAUGGUUUCGGCUAUCACUUACAGAUGGGCCCGCGGUGCAUUAGCUAGUUGGUGAGGUAACGGCUCACCAAGGCAACGAUGCAUAGCCGACCUGAGAGGGUGAUCGGCCACACUGGGACUGAGACACGGCCCAGACUCCUACGGGAGGCAGCAGUAGGGAAUCUUCCGCAAUGGACGAAAGUCUGACGGAGCAACGCCGCGUGAGUGAUGAAGGCUUUCGGGUCGUAAAACUCUGUUGUUAGGGAAGAACAAGUACAAGAGUAACUGCUUGUACCUUGACGGUACCUAACCAGAAAGCCACGGCUAACUACGUGCCAGCAGCCGCGGUAAUACGUAGGUGGCAAGCGUUAUCCGGAAUUAUUGGGCGUAAAGCGCGCGCAGGCGGUUUCUUAAGUCUGAUGUGAAAGCCC
Molecule: ribosomal RNA, 532 nt
Filed under: Priestia flexa
Lineage: Bacteria; Bacillati; Bacillota; Bacilli; Caryophanales; Bacillaceae
Description: bacterial SSU rRNA
Rfam family: Bacterial small subunit ribosomal RNA
Source: RNAcentral